UACGUAGGGGGCAAGCGUUGUCCGGAAUCAUUGGGCGUAAAGAGCGCGUAGGCGGCCCUGUAAGUCCGCUGUGAAAGUCAAGGGCUCAACCCUUGGAUGCCGGUGGAUACUGCAGGGCUAGAGUCCGGAAGAGGCGAGUGGAAUUCCUGGUGUAGCGGUGAAAUGCGCAGAUAUCAGGAGGAACACCGAUGGCGAAGGCAGCUCGCUGGGACGGUACUGACGCUGAGGCGCGAAAGCGUGGGGGGCAAACAGG
This 253-nucleotide ribosomal RNA is filed under the name uncultured bacterium. Its description in RNAcentral is "partial 16S ribosomal RNA". It matches the Rfam family "Bacterial small subunit ribosomal RNA", at positions 524 to 776 of the family's 1533-position model. The record is from RNAcentral.